Molecule: ribosomal RNA, 280 nt
Filed under: uncultured Staphylococcus sp.
Lineage: Bacteria; Bacillati; Bacillota; Bacilli; Caryophanales; Staphylococcaceae
Description: partial 16S ribosomal RNA
Rfam family: Bacterial small subunit ribosomal RNA
Source: RNAcentral
GUGCCAGCCGCCGCGGUAAUACGUAGGUGGCAAGCGUUAUCCGGAAUUAUUGGGCGUAAAGCGCGCGUAGGCGGUUUUUUAAGUCUGAUGUGAAAGCCCACGGCUCAACCGUGGAGGGUCAUUGGAAACUGGAAAACUUGAGUGCAGAAGAGGAAAGUGGAACUCCAUGUGUAGCGGUGAAAUGCGCAGAGAUAUGGAGGAACACCAGUGGCGAAGGCGACUUUCNUGGUCUGUAACUGACGCUGAUGUGCGAAAGCGUGGGGAUCAGACAGGAUUAGAU